GAUGAACGCUGGCGGCGUGCCUAAUACAUGCAAGUCGAGCGAACAGACGAGGGGCUGGCUGCUCUGACGUUAGGGGCGGGCGGGUGUGUAACGCGGGGGUAACGUACCGAUAAGACUGGGAUGACUGCGGGAGACCGGAGCUUAUACCGGAGAAUCUAUUGAAGCGCAGGGUUCUGGAGAGUAAGACGGUUUGGGUGUCGCUUGUGGAUUGUCCCGCGCCGCAUGAGCUAGUGGGUAAGGUAACGGCUUACCAAGGCAACGAUGCGGAGCCGACCUGAGAGGGUGAUCGGCCACACUGGAACUGAGACACGGUCCAGACUCCUACGGGAGGCAGCAGUAGGGAAUCUUCCGCAAUGGGCGAAAGCCUGACGGAGCAACGCCGCGUGAGUGAUGAAGGUCUUCGGAUCGUAAAACUCUGUUAUUAGGGAAGAACACAUGUGUAAGUAACUAUGCACGUCUUGACGGUACCUAAUCAGAAAGCCACGGCUAACUACGUG
This 497-nucleotide ribosomal RNA is filed under the name uncultured bacterium. RNAcentral's name for it is "partial 16S ribosomal RNA". It matches the Rfam family "Bacterial small subunit ribosomal RNA", at positions 28 to 507 of the family's 1533-position model. The record is from RNAcentral.